This 482-nucleotide ribosomal RNA is filed under the name uncultured bacterium. Its description in RNAcentral is "partial 16S ribosomal RNA". It matches the Rfam family "Bacterial small subunit ribosomal RNA", at positions 28 to 507 of the family's 1533-position model. The record is from RNAcentral.
GACGAACGCUGGCGGCGUGCUUAACACAUGCAAGUCGAACGCUGAAGCUCAGCUUGCUGGGUGGAUGAGUGGCGAACGGGUGAGUAACACGUGAGUAACCUGCCCUCUUCUUUGGGAUAACGCCCGGAAACGGGUGCUAAUACUGGAUAUUCACUGAUUCUCGCAUGGGGGUUGGUGGAAAGGUUUUUUCUGGUGGGGGAUGGGCUCGCGGCCUAUCAGCUUGUUGGUGGGGUGAUGGCCUACCAAGGCUUUGACGGGUAGCCGGCCUGAGAGGGUGACCGGUCACAUUGGGACUGAGAUACGGCCCAGACUCCUACGGGAGGCAGCAGUGGGGAAUAUUGCACAAUGGGCGAAAGCCUGAUGCAGCGACGCCGCGUGAGGGAUGGAGGCCUUUGGGUUGUAAACCUCUUUCGCUCAUGGUCAAGCCGCAGCUUUGGGUUGUGGUGAGGGUAGUGGGUAAAGAAGCGCCGGCUAACUACGUG